UCAGCAUCAUGCUAGGCACUGAAAGGUCUUCACAUGUUUGUGUCUCUACUAACUAGACACAAAUAUUCCAACAAUUAAUGGGAACAUUUGAGAGUCCUCUAGGAAACUUUAUCCAUGUCACUUUAGGAUACAUUUCAUUCUUCAGAGGAAACCUCACUCCUUUCUUUAAAAUGGUCUGGUUUAUUUCAAAUCUUUUUCUCUCCAAUUUUUCUCAAAAGAAUAUACAACAUUACCAUUCCAAAUUAAACAAUACUUGAAGGAAAAGGUCAGCAAACAACAAAGGAACCCUGAAGGAGUUGGGUAGCAAGCUUCCCAGAAUCGCAGAUGUCUCCUUGAAAAGAGGGAAACAUUUCUGCCAAGAAUUGAAAACAGAUCCUUAUGUUCUGGGAGGCUUGCCCCCGGGAGAGUUGUGGCCUUGGGGAAAAUGUUAAGCAUAUAAAUCAGAACAAAGCCACUUGUUCUUGCACAUUUUAUGGUUUCUACUGAUCACUAUCUCUCACACCUGCUUUCCUGUGGCUCACAAUAAAAAUCGCUGGAUGGUGAGGGGGGUUGUUGCAGCUCCUCCAGAGCCUCAACCCUCUGCAUCUCCACCUAAAUUCUACAUUCUCUGUCUCUCAAGUUUCUUCGCAUCUCGGAAGCACAAUUGACGCAGCGAGCAGGGUCCACAGCGACGGUCUCGGUCAACAGAAGUAUUGGACGCCUGUAAGGAAAAUCAAAAUUAGACAUGAGCAAGAGAAGGAGGCGUGAAUUUGACAACUUAACUCGAACCAUGCAGAAGUUAGAUCUUCGUGCACAAACCAUCACUGUCCCUUUGCCUCAAACACAAAGGGCUACGGUUCCUACUUGGGGCCAACCAAAGAAGAUGAAUCAGAAAGCUGAACAAGUGUUGCAAGAGGCUGGACAGCCGGCAAAUGCAACGGCCCUUUCCCUUGCCGUGCUCGCUGUUAUUUCCACACAGUCUGGAGAGGAGCUCGCCGAUCGCAAAACUUAAUCAACAAAGGACAGCAGAAAGCAGCUGCCUUCUCUAUCCUGCUUCAGCAAAUUCAGCAAAAACAAAAAGGGGGGAAUGUAGGAAAAGAUCAGCAAACAACAAACGAACUCUGAAGGAGUUGGUUAGCAAGCUUCCCAGAAUCGCAGAUGUCCCCUUGAAAGGCGGGAAACAUUUCUGCUAGGAACUGAAAACAGAUCCUUAUCGUUCCGAGAAGCUUGACCCCAGGAGAGUUAUGACCUUAAGGAAAAUGUUAAGCAUAUAGCUCUCAGAACAAAGCCACCUGUUUUUGCACCUUUUAUGGCUUCUACUGAUCACUGUCUCUCACACCUGUCUUUCUGUAGCUCACAAUAAAAAUCGCUGGAUGGUGAA
This is a non-coding RNA of Miniopterus natalensis, 1360 nucleotides long. NCBI's taxonomy places the organism in Eukaryota, Metazoa, Chordata, Mammalia, Chiroptera, Miniopteridae. The record is from RefSeq and is a predicted model, not a curated record.